CACUCUGGGACAAGCCCUGGAAACGGGGUCUAAUACCGGAUACCACUCUGUCCCGCAUGGGACGGGGUUGAAAGCUCCGGCGGUGAAGGAUGAGCCCGCGGCCUAUCAGCUUGUUGGUGGGGUAAUGGCCUACCAAGGCGACGACGGGUAGCCGGCCUGAGAGGGCGACCGGCCACACUGGGACUGAGACACGGCCCAGACUCCUACGGGAGGCAGCAGUGGGGAAUAUUGCACAAUGGGCGAAAGCCUGAUGCAGCGACGCCGCGUGAGGGAUGACGGCCUUCGGGUUGUAAACCUCUUUCAGCAGGGAAGAAGCGCAAGUGACGGUACCUGCAGAAGAAGCGCCGGCUAACUACGUGCCAGCAGCCGCGGUAAUACGUAGGGCGCAAGCGUUGUCCGGAAUUAUUGGGCGUAAAGAGCUCGUAGGCGGCUUGUCACGUCGGAUGUGAAAGCCCGGGGCUUAACCCCGGGUCUGCAUUCGAUACGGGCUAGCUAGAGUGUGGUAGGGGAGAUCGGAAUUCCUGGUGUAGCGGUGAAAUGCGCAGAUAUCAGGAGGAACACCGGUGGCGAAGGCGGAUCUCUGGGCCAUUACUGACGCUGAGGAGCGAAAGCGUGGGGAGCGAACAGGAUUAGAUACCCU
RNAcentral lists this ribosomal RNA (640 nucleotides) under Streptomyces sp. D143. RNAcentral's name for it is "bacterial SSU rRNA". It matches the Rfam family "Bacterial small subunit ribosomal RNA", at positions 134 to 788 of the family's 1533-position model. The record is from RNAcentral. Lineage: Bacteria; Bacillati; Actinomycetota; Actinomycetes; Kitasatosporales; Streptomycetaceae.